GGAGGGUGCAGUGCGUCCUCUGCCUGCGCUCCGCUCGUGCCGGGCAAAUGUGGGAGUGGAGCCUAGGGGAGAGGUGCGUGUAGUGAGCACUAGAUCUCCCGUGCUUAUCCACAGCCCGGUUCAACCUGUGCCUGCGCUCUGGAGGGUCCGGGCUAAAGUAGUUGUCCAGCCUGGGGAAGUGGUGCCAAGGUUGCGCACCAGAGCUCCAGUGCUCCCCCACGGCCCGGUCCUUCAGUUGCCUCCUCUUAACACCAAGCCUCCUGAAGGUCUCCCCAGCCUGGUGGUUCCUGUGGCAGCCCCACGCACCAGGCUGUCUCUCCGUCUCAUCCCUGCAGGUGGUCCCGCCUGUCCGGCGCCGCUGCCGGAGCCUCCCGCCUGUCCGGCGCCGCUGCCGGAGCCUCCCGCCUGUCCGGCGCCACUGCCGGAGCCUCCCGCCUGUCCGGCGCCGCUGCCGGAGCCUCCCGCCUGUCCGGAGCCUCCCGCCUGUCCGGCGCCGCUGCCGGAGCCUCCCGCCUGUCCGGCGCCGCUGCCGGAGCCUCCCGCCUGUCCGGCGCCGCUGCCGGAGCCUCCCGCCUGUCCGGCGCCGCUGCCGGAGCCUCCCGCCUGUCCGGAGCCUCCCGCCUGUCCGGCGCCGCUGCCGGAGCCUCCCGCCUGUCCGGCGCCGCUGCCGGAGUCUCCCGCCUGUCCGGCGCCGCGGCCGGAGUCUCCCGCCUGUCCGGCGCUGCUGCCGGAGUCUCCCGCCUGUCCGGCGCUGCUGCCGGAGUCUGAGGCGCCAGAGCCCCUCAGCCCAGAGGCGCCAGAGCCCCUCAGCCCAGAGGCGCCAGAGCCCCUCAGCCCAGAGGCGCCAGAGCCCCUCAGCCCAGAGGCGCCAGAGCCCCUCAGCCCAGAGGCGCCAGAGCCCCUCAGCCCAGAGGCGCCAGAGCCCCUCAGCCCAGAGGCGCCAGAGCCCCUCAGUCCAGAGGCGCCAGAGCUUCUGCCCCUCUGUCCAGAGCUUCUGCCCCUCUGUCCAGAGCUUCUGCCCCUCUGUCCAGAGCUUCUGCCCCUCUGUCCAGAGCUUCUGCCCCUCUGUCCAGUGGGGUCAUUGAGAGGGGUGGCCAUGGUGAGAAAGCCACGGAGGCGGACAAUAAGGCGGACUAAGACAAUGGUGAAGUGGGGUCCGCGUCCUGCGCCAGAGCCGC
Long non-coding RNA from Oncorhynchus tshawytscha (Chinook salmon), 1178 nucleotides. NCBI's taxonomy places the organism in Eukaryota, Metazoa, Chordata, Actinopteri, Salmoniformes, Salmonidae. The record is from Ensembl.